Molecule: transfer RNA, 73 nt
Filed under: Candidatus Sericytochromatia bacterium
Lineage: Bacteria; Bacillati; Candidatus Sericytochromatia
Rfam family: tRNA
About the family: Transfer RNA (tRNA) molecules are approximately 80 nucleotides in length. Their secondary structure includes four short double-helical elements and three loops (D, anti-codon, and T loops). Further hydrogen bonds mediate the characteristic L-shaped molecular structure. tRNAs have two regions of fundamental functional importance: the anti-codon, which is responsible for specific mRNA codon recognition, and the 3' end, to which the tRNAs corresponding amino acid is attached (by aminoacyl-tRNA synthetases). tRNAs cope with the degeneracy of the genetic code in two manners: having more than one tRNA (with a specific anti-codon) for a particular amino acid; and 'wobble' base-pairing, i.e. permitting non-standard base-pairing at the 3rd anti-codon position.
Source: Rfam by way of RNAcentral
GCGUCCUUAGUUCAGAUGGUAGAACGGCGGUCUCCAAAACCGCAUGUCGGGGGUUCGAGUCCUCCAGGGCGCG